GGGCUGUACAGUGAAUCAGUGAUGUGAGGAGCCGUGGGAGUGGGAGGUCGGGAAGCAGGGCAAUAAAGCAAAACCCCUCUUCAUCUACGCCUUCUUCCUCCGGAGAGUAGCCAUGGCCUCCGCCGGCGGAGGCGAUGAGGUGGGAGAGUCCGGCGGACCCCAUCCAAGCGCCACCAACUCGAGCGAAGUGCUGCUGGUGGUGGUAAAGGCACCCCGUAAUCUUUCACAUUUUCUUUUUCUUAUUUAUUUUUUUUUUGAAUUUUUACCGGGAGAUUACUUCCACCUGAAUAUAUUCAAAAAGAGUCCAAAAGGCAGGUUUAUAGAAGUUUUGAGGAGGAAAAACAACACCGAACGCCCUAGCGCUGGGGUAAAAAGUGGCAUAGCCACAAAGCCACACAUAAACAUAGAAACAAUAGCAGGACGCGGAGACUACUAAUCAGGACAUAUGAGCUCUUCGACGAUGCCUCCAGGAGGUGAAUGACGCCGUAACGUAAUCAUCGUCAUGCAAGCCGGGGCUUGGCAAGGAUUUCUCCCGAGCCAUGUGCCGAUGAGAAGUAGUUGCAAGGCUCUUCAGUGAUGCCUUCAAGAAAGAGAAUCUCGUCCCUGGCUCAAAAGUUUGAGCUGAGCUUUCGCCUAGAGCCGUUGCCAAAGCCUCUAAAGACCCACCCGCGACUGAGGUGGUAGCCGGCCGCCGCCACACCAUACAGAGCCUUUCGGACUCGCCCGCGAUGGUGGUAGGCGCGCACUGUCAAACGUCGACCGCCUCCGCUCAACGCGGAGCCAUUCCGGACUCGCCCGCGACGAGAGGAGGCGCGCAAGAGCGUUCUCGCCUGAACAGAGGGGGGGGGGGGUGUCGGCCGCCGCCACACCGCGCGGAGCCGCGCCCAGACUCGCCCGCGGCGGUAGGAGGCGCGCACCAACAAGGAUCCCCAAACGUGCCGGUCGCCGCCACAUCACGCGGAGCCACACCAGGACUCGCCCGCGACGGAGGGGGGCGCGCACCGGCAAGCAACCAUCCAGACGAGGGGAGGAGCCGGUCACCACCACAUCCCACGGAGCCAUUGCCGGACUCGCCCGUGAGAUGGGAGGCGCACACCGGCACCACCAGCACGCUAACACCCAAGCAGAUGCCGAGGUCGACGCAGUCGGCGGCGGCGGAUGGAACCGCCCGGUCGCCCUCGAGGGAGAGCGACGCAGGCGUCGGGUCUCAGGGGCAGCGUUCGCCAUGGCCGACCAUGGUCAGACAGCACCCAUGGCCGAAGGCCCCUGACCAGGGCAGCGUCCAGCUGGAUCCGGGCCCGGGACGACCGGAUCUGGCGGCCGACCGCCAGUUACACCGCCGGCCAUCUCCCAGGCGACGAAGACAGCCCGACGUGCAGAAGCUUCAAGGGAGAGAGGAACGGAGGAGGAGAAACCCAGCCCUGCCGCCGCCAUCCUCGCCUCCGGCCAGGCAACCCGGGGCUGGCUCAGGCGGAGGCAGAGCGGUGGACGCGCGCCUUACGGCCGCGGGGGAGCUGCCGAGUCCAGGCCGCCAUGGUCAGGAGAAGGCUGGGGCCGCCUGGAACCGGCUGCCUGGCACGCCACGCCGCGAACGCCGGCCGCCAAGCUGGACCCCCACCGGAGCCAUGGAGGGGGCGUCGGAUCCGGCCCAAAGGGCCCUGGAUCUGAAGCCUGAGCGCGCCGCGGCCAACCAAGCUCGGAGCCCAAGGCCGGAGGAAGAGGAGGGGAGGGAAGGGGGAAGAGAGAAAAGAAAAGGUGCUAUGGGGUGGCCUUUUUGGGCGCCAUAGCUGGCCGCCGCCGGCGGCAGCGGCGGCCCGGGGAGCUCGCCGGCCGAUGGGGGUGGAGACGGAGGUGGGGGGUCGCCCUGUACGGAGAGCGACGCGGGGGGGGGGGGGGGGGCUCCUCUCAAGAGAAUAACUCUUUCCUCUUAUUUAUUAUUUUUGUUUGCGAGGGCAUCUUCAGCCCUUGAUCUGGUAGUACUACUGUGCAGUUUAGUUUAUCUACUUCGUCUCUAAUGUUCUUUGUGGUUAAGCGGCGUAGUUGGAUGCCUAGCUGAUGGCAUUUCAACUACAGGGUUACAAAUUCCUUCCCUUCCAUUUCCCUCCAAUCUGCGUCCUGGGUUGAAGCAGCAUACUUUUUUUUUUUUGCCUUCAGGAGUAACAAUCUGAAUAUCUGAGUGGUGGAACUUGUAGGAAUAGAGUAGCAUACACAACUUAUUGUUUGAUUUUACAGAAACAAAAAGUUGCAGAUUGUGUUCGGCGAUCUCAUUAUCUCAUUCCUUUUACUAUGUUUGUUUUCGACGAUGUGUUAUAUUCCAAGGAACAGACUUUGUGAUAUAUCACUUGAUGUACCUGUUGUUGGCUAUCUAGCCUAAAUUUACUGAUGGGAAAUGCAAUCUUUGCUUAUACAGCGGAAGCAGGUCAGAGUCUUGGGGUGGAAUUUGGAAGCGGAAAGAGCAAAGAUCCAGUUAUGUCCAAAGGUUGGAUAGGUCUGGUUGGAAUAAGUCUGAAAACCCACUUCAGUAUAUCACAGUCUUCUUCAUUCCAUGACUUCAAUAGUUGUUGCUUAUGGGCAGAAUAAUUGGAGGUGAGGUGUGAGGAUUCUCAGAGUAUAAAGGAGAUUGAAGACUUGAAGUCUGAUCUAGAUGAGGAUUUGCGGCAGCUUGGAUACUGCGAGGAGAAUGAGAAGCUGAGAGCAGAGUUGGAGGCCAGGAAUGACGGCCUGACAGAGGGGAAUGAGGAGUUGCAUGCAAGCCAAGAACGACAAUAGACCUCUUACAUUUAUUACAGUUGUACUACAGAUAUAGCCUGCCCUUACAGCAUCCUAUCUUCAUAUGGAAACCCAGUUCAAUCAAAAUGAAAUAGAUCAUUGUGAGUUUGUGAAUGUUAAAUAA
RNAcentral lists this long non-coding RNA (2893 nucleotides) under Sorghum bicolor (sorghum). RNAcentral describes it as "long non-coding RNA (SBIC_LNC004081)". The record is from RNAcentral. Lineage: Eukaryota; Viridiplantae; Streptophyta; Magnoliopsida; Poales; Poaceae.